This 300-nucleotide unclassified non-coding RNA is filed under the name uncultured Chrysozymaceae. RNAcentral's name for it is "sequence contains ITS2". The stretch from base 1 to 52 matches the Rfam family "5.8S ribosomal RNA", at positions 103 to 154 of the family's 154-position model. Lineage: Eukaryota; Fungi; Basidiomycota; Microbotryomycetes. The record is from RNAcentral.
AACGCACCUUGCGCUCUCUGGUAUUCCGGAGAGCAUGUCUGUUUGAGUGUCAUGAACUCUUCAACGCGCCGGUUCCUUGUUGGACCGGAUUGGUGUUUGGAUUUUGAGUGUUGCUAUUUAGUUAGCUCAUUCGUAAUACAUUAGCAUCUCAAUUUCGUAAUCGGAUUGACUCAGCGUAAUAGACUAUUCGCUGAGGACACCAUUUUGGUGGCCGAGACAUGAAAGAGUGGAAGCUUCAAACCCCUCCUAGUCAUUUUUAGAUUAGACCUCAGAUCAGGCAGGAUUACCCGCUGAACUUAA